Molecule: ribosomal RNA, 300 nt
Filed under: uncultured Hyphomicrobiales bacterium
Lineage: Bacteria; Pseudomonadati; Pseudomonadota; Alphaproteobacteria; Hyphomicrobiales
Description: bacterial SSU rRNA
Rfam family: Bacterial small subunit ribosomal RNA
Source: RNAcentral
CACGUGGGAACCUUCCUCGGGGUACGGAACAACUCAGGGAAACUUGAGCUAAUACCGUAUACGUCCGUGAGGAGAAAGAUUUAUCGCCCUGAGACGGGCCCGCGUCGGAUUAGCUAGUUGGUGGGGUAACGGCCUACCAAGGCGACGAUCCGUAGCUGAUCUUAGAGGAUGAUCAGCCACACUGGGACUGAGACACGGCCCAGACUCCUACGGGAGGCAGCAGUGGGGAAUCUUGGACAAUGGGGGCAACCCUGAUCCAGCCAUGCCGCGUGAGUGAAGAAGGUCUUCGGAUUGUAAAGC